GACGAACGCUGGCGGCGUGCUUAACACAUGCAAGUCGAACGGAAAGGCCCUGCUUUUGUGGGGUGCUCGAGUGGCGAACGGGUGAGUAACACGUGAGUAACCUGCCCUUGACUUUGGGAUAACUUCAGGAAACUGGGGCUAUACCGGAAAGGAGCUCCUGCUUCCUGGUGGGGGUUGGAAAGUUUCGGCGGUUGGGGAUGGACUCGCGGCUUAUCAGCUUGUUGGUGGGGUAGUGGCUUACCAAGGCUUUGACGGGUAGCCGGCCUGAGAGGGUGACCGGCCACAUUGGGACUGAGAUACGGCCCAGACUCCUACGGGAGGCAGCAGUGGGGAAUAUUGCACAAUGGGCGGAAGCCUGAUGCAGCAACGCCGCGUGCGGGAUGACGGCCUUCGGGUUGUAAACCGCUUUCGCCUGUGACGAAGCGUGAGUGACGGUAAUGGGUAAAGAAGCACCGGCUAACUACGUG
This 467-nucleotide ribosomal RNA is filed under the name uncultured bacterium. RNAcentral describes it as "partial 16S ribosomal RNA". It matches the Rfam family "Bacterial small subunit ribosomal RNA", at positions 28 to 507 of the family's 1533-position model. The record is from RNAcentral.